Molecule: ribosomal RNA, 253 nt
Filed under: uncultured bacterium
Lineage: Bacteria
Description: partial 16S ribosomal RNA
Rfam family: Bacterial small subunit ribosomal RNA
Source: RNAcentral
GACAGAGGGUGCAACCGUUGUUCGGAAUUACUGGGCGUAAAGCGCGUGUAGGCGGCCAUGCAAGUCGGAUGUGAAAGCCCUCGGCUCAACCGGGGAAGUGCACUCGAAACUGCAAGGCUAGAGUCUCGGAGAGGAUCGUGGAAUUCUCGGUGUAGAGGUGAAAUUCGUAGAUAUCGAGAGGAACACCGGUGGCGAAGGCGGCCAACUGGACGAAUACUGACGCUGAGACACGAAAGCGUGGGGAGCAAACAGG